CUGGUGUUCCGGUUGUCACGCCAGUGGCAUUGCCGGGUAGCUAUGUUCGGAAAAGAUAACCGCUGAAAGCAUCUAAGCGGGAAACUUGCCUCAAGAUGAGAUCUCACUGGAACCUUGAGUUCCCUGAAGGGCCGUCGAAGACUACGACGUUGAUAGGUUGGGUGUGUAAGCGCUGUGAGGCGUUGAGCUAACCAAUACUAAUUGCCCGUGAGGCUUGACCAUAUAACACCCAAGCAAUU
Molecule: ribosomal RNA, 239 nt
Filed under: Pseudomonas chlororaphis
Lineage: Bacteria; Pseudomonadati; Pseudomonadota; Gammaproteobacteria; Pseudomonadales; Pseudomonadaceae
Description: partial 23S ribosomal RNA
Rfam family: Bacterial large subunit ribosomal RNA
Source: RNAcentral